This 1361-nucleotide ribosomal RNA is filed under the name uncultured bacterium. Its description in RNAcentral is "16S ribosomal RNA". It matches the Rfam family "Bacterial small subunit ribosomal RNA", at positions 35 to 1389 of the family's 1533-position model. The record is from RNAcentral.
GCUAGCUACAGGCUUAACACAUGCAAGUCGACCUUCAGCAUGGUCUUAGCUUGCUAAGGCCGAUGGCGACCGGCGCACGGGUGAGUAACGCGUAUCCAACCUGCCUUACACUCUUGGACAGCCUUCUGAAAGGGAGAUUAAUACAAGAUGUUAUCAUGAGUAAGCAUUUUCGCAUGAUUAAAGGUUUACCGGUGUAAGAUGGGGAUGCGUUCCAUUAGAUAGUAGGCGGGGUAACGGCCCACCUAGUCUUCGAUGGAUAGGGGUUCUGAGAGGAAGGUCCCCCACAUUGGAACUGAGACACGGUCCAAACUCCUACGGGAGGCAGCAGUGAGGAAUAUUGGUCAAUGGACGAGAGUCUGAACCAGCCAAGUAGCGUGAAGGAUGAAGGUUCUAUGGAUUGUAAACUUCUUUUAUACGGGAAUAAACGAAUCCACGUGUGGAUUUUUGCAUGUACCGUAUGAAUAAGGAUCGGCUAACUCCGUGCCAGCAGCCGCGGUAAUACGGAGGAUCCGAGCGUUAUCCGGAUUUAUUGGGUUUAAAGGGAGCGUAGAUGGGUUGUUAAGUCAGUUGUGAAAGUUUGCGGCUCAACCGUAAAAUUGCAAUUGAUACUGGCAGUCUUGAGUACAGUUGAGGUAGGCGGAAUUCGUGGUGUAGCGGUGAAAUGCUUAGAUAUCACGAAGAACUCCGAUUGCGAAGGCAGCUUACUAACCUGUAACUGACAUUGAUGCUCGAAAGUGUGGGUAUCAAACAGGAUUAGAUACCCUGGUAGUCCACACGGUAAACGAUGAAUACUCGCUGUAGGCGAUAUACAGUCUGCGGCCAAGCGAAAGCAUUAAGUAUUCCACCUGGGGAGUACGCCGGCAACGGUGAAACUCAAAGGAAUUGACGGGGGCCCGCACAAGCGGAGGAACAUGUGGUUUAAUUCGAUGAUACGCGAGGAACCUUACCCGGGCUUAAAUUGCAACCGAAUAUGGCGGAAACGCUAUAGCUAGCAAUAGCGGUUGUGAAGGUGCUGCAUGGUUGUCGUCAGCUCGUGCCGUGAGGUGUCGGCUUAAGUGCCAUAACGAGCGCAACCCUUGCCGAUAGUUACUAACAGGUUAUGCUGAGGACUCUGUCGGGACUGCCAUCGUAAGAUGUGAGGAAGGUGGGGAUGACGUCAAAUCAGCACGGCCCUUACGUCCGGGGCUACACACGUGUUACAAUGGGGGGUACAGAGGGCUGCUACCACGCAAGUGGAUGCCAAUCCCAAAAACCUCUCUCAGUUCGGAUUGAAGUCUGCAACCCGACUUCAUGAAGCUGGAUUCGCUAGUAAUCGCGCAUCAGCCAUGGCGCGGUGAAUACGUUCCCGGGCCUUGUACACA